GAGGUGACACGAUCCACAAGACAUUAAAAGGGUUGGAGGGAGUUGUUUGAACUUAAAAUUCAAACCUACAACUCCCUAUAACCAACCUUAACUCCCAUAAAACCUCUAGCUUUUAUCUAACAAUUUGAUAGAGAGAGAAUGAUGGAAAGAAAAAUGGUGAAAAUUCGUAUGGAAAAUAUCACCAAAAUUGGAAAGGCCCUAAAAUCACUAUUUUGGUAGAAAAACUCACAAAAUAAGAUUGUGAAUAAUAAUUCUCUUCCAUUGUGAUCGAGAUUGGGACCAUUGGAGUGUAAGAAAAUUGCAGAAUUCAAAGUUUUGGAAAGUAAGAUAAUUCAACCAUUUAAAAGAUCUUUAAAUUCAUCAUUUACUCGAAAUUUAUGAUUAUGCAUGCUACAAUUUAUUACAAUUAUCAAUAACUUGACGGAUUAAUAUGCAUGAUACUCGAUUCCAUGACAAUUGUUAACCAUAGUAAGAAAAACAAUUACCAUGUAGUGAUUAAUAUGGGUUCCUAUGAUAGGAAUCAAGCCUCCCAAGUGCCUUGAACACGGAAUGGCACAGCAGUUUGGGUGUAACAACAAGAAGCAAAAGUCUACAGCAAUCUAGCCUCCAAUGGAACAAAUCUUCAGAAAUUUCAGGAAGAUUUAGUCAAGGGAAGUCGAUAUGCAGAGAAGAAACUAGCCGAAAAUCACCUCCAUCAUCUUCUAUUUCGUAUAAAAGAACUGUUCCAUAAGGAAGGGGAAGUCUCGGAAAGAUGACAGCAGGAGUAAAGAAGCUAUUAUGCAAUGCUAGAGGAGCGCCUAUCAACAAUUUGCUGAAGAAUUCUCAAUCACUUCUUAGAUGAAAAUAAGUACUUAUGAAAAUUAAUUAAUUUCUGCUUAUAAUUGGUCCAAGGGAAAGAUUGUAAAAAUUUGAACUCAACAAAGAGGUUUUGUUGUGAUUUGGGAGAUCAAUUUUGCCAGAAUUAUUGAAGCUGGGAUCAUCUUGUAAAUAUUUUACAUA
Molecule: long non-coding RNA, 999 nt
Organism: Olea europaea var. sylvestris
Lineage: Eukaryota; Viridiplantae; Streptophyta; Magnoliopsida; Lamiales; Oleaceae
Exons: 3
Source: RefSeq, a predicted model, not a curated record